CGCUGGCGGCGUGCCUAAUACAUGCAAGUCGAGCGAACAUUGAGAGCUUGCUCUCAAAUGUUAGCGGCGGACGGGUGAGUAACACGUGGGCAACCUGCCUAUAAGACUGGGAUAACUUCGGGAAACCGGAGCUAAUACCGGAUAAUUCACAUCUACUCAUGUAGAUGUGCUGAAAGACGGUUUACGCUGUCACUUAUAGAUGGGCCCGCGGCGCAUUAGCUAGUUGGUGAGGUAACGGCUCACCAAGGCCACGAUGCGUAGCCGACCUGAGAGGGUGAUCGGCCACACUGGGACUGAGACACGGCCCAGACUCCUACGGGAGGCAGCAGUAGGGAAUCUUCCGCAAUGGACGAAAGUCUGACGGAGCAACGCCGCGUGAGUGAUGAAGGUUUUCGGAUCGUAAAACUCUGUUGUUAGGGAAGAACAAGUACCAGAGUAACUGCUGGUACCUUGACGGUACCUAACCAGAAAGCCACGGCUAACUACGUGCCAGCCGCAGC
RNAcentral lists this ribosomal RNA (500 nucleotides) under uncultured bacterium. RNAcentral's name for it is "bacterial SSU rRNA". It matches the Rfam family "Bacterial small subunit ribosomal RNA", at positions 34 to 518 of the family's 1533-position model. The record is from RNAcentral.